RNA transcript from Salvia hispanica, 780 nucleotides. It is a transcript of the gene named protein NONRESPONDING TO OXYLIPINS 2, mitochondrial, with no coding region annotated. Lineage: Eukaryota; Viridiplantae; Streptophyta; Magnoliopsida; Lamiales; Lamiaceae. The record is from RefSeq and is a predicted model, not a curated record.
AGGUGAAAUAUACAAGAACCCGACCCAAAUCUCGAUGUACAACAUUCGAAGCGCGGAGUACCAACGCACUUGAGCUUCUUCCAAAUCUAAUCCCUCUCCAAAACCCUCAAUUCACCUUUUCUUCCAGCCACCGCUCUUCAACAAUGGCGUCUCGAUGCAGAACGAUCUCAAGGCCAGCAAUGAGCUUUCUCAAAUCCUCCUUCUCGAAGCCCUCAAGCACACCCAUGUUCUCAGCUCAAUCGCCGCGCCUCUCUCCAUCCCCAUUUUCUAGUCCAUUGCCUCAAAUGGCUAUGCUUCAAUCUCUGUUACCUCUCCACUCGGCAUUGUCGUCGGCUCGGCUAACCUCUUGUCUAGGCAUAGACACCAAGGGCUGCAGAUCUUUGUCUCAGGGUAUGCUCUCCAGUGCCAACCCUGGAGUUUGAUAGAUUUUAUAAUGUUUCUGAAUGUGCUGCAACCUGCCUACCACCUGAUUAGUUAGGCUUCAUGUAUCUACGUUUGCGGCGCUCAAGUUUUGAAACUAGGUCUCUCUGUCCCGCGAUGAGAGGGGAAAUGCAAUAAAGGUUGAAGAAAGAUACUUCAGUUUGAUGGAUCAUGUCUCCCUUUUAGACAAUGUAUACUUUCACAAUUUACUUACAGAGAGAAUCUUUGGCUCAUUUUUGUACAAGCAAAAAUAUCUUCUAUUGCAUGCUGAAAAUCCUGUGUUUUUAGUGUGUUGAAUCAUUGUACUUGUCUUACAAUAUGGUCUCAUUGAUCAAGUUAGUCAUUAGUUUGCUUUUGUUA